Long non-coding RNA from Gallus gallus (chicken), 353 nucleotides. The record is from Ensembl. NCBI's taxonomy places the organism in Eukaryota, Metazoa, Chordata, Aves, Galliformes, Phasianidae.
GUUGUAGUGAGCUGGGGGUCAGCCUCUUCUCUCGGGUGACUACUGACAGAACUAGAGGGAAUGGCUUCAAGCUGCGCCAGGGAAGAUUCAGGCUGGCCGUUAGGAAAUACUACUUCUCUGAAAGGGUGGUCAGGCACUGGAAUGGGCUGCCCAGAGAGGUGGUGGAGUCACCGAGCCUGGUGGUGUUCAAAGAGCGUUUGGGUGUUGUGAAAUACUACUUCUCUGAAAGGGUGGUCAGGCACUGGAAUGGGCUGCCCAGAGAGGUGGUGGAGUCACUGAGCCUGGUGGUGUUCAAAGAGCGUUUGGAUGUUGUGUUGAGGGACAUGGUUUAGCGGGAACCAUUGGUGAAGGAC